GUGGCCUCCCCGGGAACAGCCGGUUGUGUUUUCUCCCGUUUGUUUUUUCUUGCAGGUGAAGAGGAAGGCGUCAACUGCAGGAAGGUGCUAGUUAGUUGCCGCGCUGCUUUUGUCGAGGAUGGAAUCGGACCUCCGGCCCUCUGAAAGCCGAGGCGAGCGAACGGGGCCGAGAGGAGGGGCCGAGGUUGGGAAUUGCAGGGAAGCGUUUGAAAGUUAGCACGGGGGAGAAGGCUGUACAGGAGCAGGGCCCUACGGUCAGGUAAAGGGAACGGAUUACUUUUUCCCUCGCUGUUAGCGUGUCCCGGGCAGGGCAGUUCCAGCCUCUGCGUGUGUCAUCGUGUAGUUUGUUUCUUCUGUCUGCCGUGUCUUUGCCCUUCCUCGGCUCUAAAUGUCCUCGCGUCUCUUUGGGCUCGAGGAGCACGGCACGCGUCUCAGGGGCCAUCCCUAGGGUAUCGAACGCCCAUCUUCAUCGGCACGCUGCCGAUCGGGUGCUUUUUUAUUCUUGCGUUAUCAGCUUAAAGCGUGGGUAGGUCUUGGAAGUUUCCGGUCGGGAGUCUUUCGCGCAGCAUCGUCGCCGGCUGCGGCAUCAGCUCUGCUCCUUAGGCAUCCAUUUUCACGGACUGUGACGUAUCCCCUGCAUCCCUCCAUCCUAGGAUUCGGACUCCUACUUCUCGUCCGCCGUCUCGGUUUUGACGGUAGCUUCUUAUAACGGGCCAUAACGCGUGACUCUUUCUGGGGCUGCCAUAUAGCCUCCUCGCCUCCCAGUUGUUGCCCUCUAGGUCUUCUCGCCUGACAUGGUAUCUUGUCUGAGAGUCCUUAUCGCUUAGAGUUUAUCUUGGAAUCAAACCUUUUGUAGCGUUUAGCGUUAGUGUAUGCGUGUGCCUGUUUGGCUCAGAGCUGCCCUGCCUGGGGGGUGUAGAGUCAGGAGUAAGUAGAACGGCAGUAGAAGUCAACGGUUUAAAUGCUGAUACGCUUAGACCGCCUAGGCGACAGACGUACGGUCACCUCACAGUAGCCACCACAGGCUGUGCGGACGGUCAUUUCUAGAGCGUUUUAUGGCGACUGUUGGAGCGGUGUGGGAGCAGCUGUCCAGCAGUAGCAAAUUAGAUGGAAUCUCAAAGGCGUUAAGGCUCGUAGGUGUGGGAGCGUACUCUCUGGGGGGAGGCGCGUGGUUUUCUUUUUAACAACAGGCUGUAGUUGGAUGCCAGCUAGUAUCCCGAGCUGGAAGUGACACCUCCGGAUUUGUUAAGCAUCCGGGUGACUCGCAUGACUGUUUUGACAUGCGGAUGGAUGAGAUGCGCACCAAAGAGUGACGAGGGAGGUGAGCGGAGGGCCGUGAGAAGAUGGAGAGCCGCAAGCAAAGUAGGAUUUUGGCACCGGAGGCAGCUUGGGCAAGGUGGCACACGAGCCUUGACGUGACAACUGGAAACAGCAGCGGCAGGGCAGGUGAAGGGCCGAGUUUUUUGCAGGUGCAGCAGAUGGCCGCGGAGGGGCCGAGCCGCACGCAGACCGACAGUCUGAGAAGGUGAGGCAGUUGUCAGCCAGGUCGGUGUCUAAUACGGAAGUAUCGUAGGACCGCUCCGUUGAGCGCUCGCCUUGUUUUUGCAGGUGCUUUGGGAGCUGCCUUUGGGAUCGGAUGAGCGUUUGAAGCGAGCCGGGGUAGUCGCAAGGAGGAUCGUGGGUGACUCGUUAGAAGCGCAAGGGUAACUUUGUCUCUCGGUAUCUUAGGUAACGCCGGCGACGACGGCUGCAGCAUCUGACUCUGCAAAGAGCCGGUGAGCGGAACCCCGCGACGCUUCCGAGUACAGGGCGGUGUCGUGGAAGAGGUAGGCACGGAGCAGCGCGAUGCCAACGGCCGGUUGUGUUUUCUCCCGUUCGUGUUUUCUUGCAGGUGAAGAGGAAGGCGUCAACUGCAGGAACGUGCUAGUUAGUUGCCGCGCUGCUUUUGUCGAGGGUGGAAUCGGACCUCCGGCCCUGUGAAAGCUAAGUCGACCGAACGUGGCCGAGAGGAGGGGCCGAGGUUGGGAAUUGCAGGGAAGCGUUUGAAAGUUAGCACGGGGGAGAAGGCUGU
Molecule: long non-coding RNA, 2071 nt
Organism: Tyto alba (common barn owl)
Lineage: Eukaryota; Metazoa; Chordata; Aves; Strigiformes; Tytonidae
Exons: 4
Source: RefSeq, a predicted model, not a curated record